UGUUAGACAUGUUAUCUAACAGCAAUUCUUCGCCGUUCAGUACUACUACUGCAGAGAUGAGAUGAAAGAUGGCGUUUGCAGAUCUGAAUCUGAAUCUCUAGGAAGUUAGCAUUUGUCGUUCGCCACCUCUGAGCUCGUCUCCGAUCUGCUCUCUUUUGCUCUUCUGUGCCUCUCUCCGCCAUUCCUCUAUUUUUGCUUCAAAUCUGCUCUCGCCGCCGCUGCUCUGCUCUCUGCUCCGAUCCCCCAGUCUCCGUCACUGCCUCUGAACUCUCUCGCCUUCGGCUGAGGAGAGGCACACUGAGAUUCUAGGCCGCCUUCUCUACACCACAAAAUUGGUUGCAAAGCAAGAAGGCCUUGACGAUGGCUUCAAAAUUGUAAUCAACGAUGGACCAAAAGGCUAGAUUACAGGGCAAAAAAUGGCUUAGAUGAUGGAAAGGAAGCAUGCAAAAGUGGAAGGAAUACAAGAAACUGAAGGAACUGUAAAGCUGUCAACCCUGACCUCUUUGCACUCAAUCGGUCAUAACUCGAGCUACAAAGGUCCAAAUGAGGCGGUUUCAGUUGCGUUGGAAAGCUAACAUCGGGGGCUUCAAAAUGAUAUAUAAUUUUUCAUAGUUGCUAUGCAGCUAGGUGACGCGUUCGCGCACUUGAAGCGCACGCGCACCUGGCGCGUACGCGCGACAUGCGCGACGUACUGCAACUGCAGAAAUCGCUGGGGGCGAUUUCUGGGCUGUUUUUUACCCAGUUUUCGACCUAGAAAACACAGAUUAGAGGCUGCAUAGUGGAGGAUUGAAGGAACACUUCUCAUUAUUCACAAUUUAGGUUUUAGAUGUAGUUUCUAGAUAGAGGCUUUCUCCUCUCUCUAGGUUUUAGGAUUCCUAGUUCUACGUUUUGGAUUGGAUAAUUGAAGAAAGUUACUACCUCCGUAGAGUUUUUAUCAUUCUAGUUUGUUUCCUAUUCCUUUACUCUUUUAUUUCCUAUUUACUUUGUUUAGAGUUAUAUGGAUAUCUUCGAUUUUGGAAUUAAUUAA
Arachis duranensis is the source of this 1027-nucleotide long non-coding RNA. RefSeq lists it as uncharacterized. The record is from RefSeq and is a predicted model, not a curated record. The transcript has 3 exons. Lineage: Eukaryota; Viridiplantae; Streptophyta; Magnoliopsida; Fabales; Fabaceae.